Non-coding RNA from Styela clava, 328 nucleotides. NCBI's taxonomy places the organism in Eukaryota, Metazoa, Chordata, Ascidiacea, Stolidobranchia, Styelidae. The record is from RefSeq and is a predicted model, not a curated record.
UCUAACUAUAUAUAGAAAACAUGACGCAAGCGCUUGAUUGAAGAUUUUCGUUACACUUUGAGUUUAUAUUAUUUGCUUGAAGCAACAGGAAGACAAGUAAUGGAUGUUUAUCAUAUGUUGAUUAUUGUGCUACUCUUAACGUUGGGCGCAGUUGACGGAAUCAAUUCUCAAUCACUAAAUGAAAAAAAACCAGUGAAUCGCACAUCACCAGAAUAUCCAGAACUCGAUCCGACACAAACAGCUCAUAAAAAUCUCGAAUUGCUCGUUGGGGACGCCGCCUCAAAAAUAAGGAAAUUUGAAGAAUCUGUUUCCGAAGAUUUCGCAAAGC